This 400-nucleotide unclassified non-coding RNA is filed under the name fungal sp. RNAcentral describes it as "partial internal transcribed spacer region". The stretch from base 1 to 65 matches the Rfam family "Eukaryotic small subunit ribosomal RNA", at positions 1767 to 1831 of the family's 1831-position model. Lineage: Eukaryota; Fungi. The record is from RNAcentral.
CUUCAUUUAGAGGAAGUAAAAGUCGUAACAAGGUUUCCGUAGGUGAACCUGCGGAAGGAUCAUUAACACUAUACUUUCAUAUCAACCUCUGCGCAUCAGUCUGAACCUCUUCUUGUGGGGGUCGGUUAGGAUAUGGUUGGGAUACAGUAAUUGUGCUGUAUUUGCUGCCUAACCUGCUUUUAAGUUUUCCCGUCGCUUCGGCGGCGCAUGGUUAACGCUCCACUUUUUGAGGACUUUCAGCCAAAUGACCUUGGCUGGCCCUUUCUAUUUUUAACCUUUGAUUUAAUGAACUGAUUUGGGCUUCGGAUUGAGAGGAGCAAUCCUUUCUCCAAGCUUUUGGUGGAUUUCGAUCCAUUCAAUAACCAAAACACAACUCUUAACAGUGGAUAUCUCGGUUCUC